This 64-nucleotide ribosomal RNA is filed under the name uncultured bacterium. Its description in RNAcentral is "partial 16S ribosomal RNA". The record is from RNAcentral.
GAGACGGCGGGACCUAGAGUACGUACGUAAGGAGCCGCCUAGGGUAAAACUGGUGACUGGGGCU